AUACGGAGGGUGCAAGCGUUAUUCGGAAUCACUGGGCGUAAAGGACGCGUAGGCGGGUUGGCAAGUCAGAUGUGAAAUCCUACAGCUUAACUGUAGAACUGCAUUUGAAACUGCUAAACUAGAGUAUGGGAGGGGGAGAUGGAAUUAGUGGUGUAGGGGUAAAAUCCGUAGAUAUCACUAGGAAUACCGAAAGCGAAGGCGAUCUCCUGGAACAUAACUGACGCUAAGGCGUGAAAGCGUGGGGAGCAAACAGGAUUAGAUACCCCAGUAGUCC
This 274-nucleotide ribosomal RNA is filed under the name uncultured bacterium. RNAcentral's name for it is "partial 16S ribosomal RNA". It matches the Rfam family "Bacterial small subunit ribosomal RNA", at positions 523 to 796 of the family's 1533-position model. The record is from RNAcentral.